RNAcentral lists this ribosomal RNA (433 nucleotides) under uncultured bacterium. Its description in RNAcentral is "partial 16S ribosomal RNA". It matches the Rfam family "Bacterial small subunit ribosomal RNA", at positions 29 to 507 of the family's 1533-position model. The record is from RNAcentral.
AACGAACGCUGGCGGCAUGCCUAACACAUGCAAGUCGAACGAGAACUUCGGGUCUAGUGGCGGACGGGUGCGUAACGCGUGGGAACCUGCCCUUAGGUUCGGAAUAACUCCCCGAAAGGGGUGCUAAUACCGGAUAAUCUCUUCGGACCAAAGAUUUAUCGCCUUUGGAUGGGCCCGGGUUGGAUUAGGUAGUUGGUAGGGUAAUAGCCUACCAAGGCGACGAUGCAUAGCUGGUCUGUGAGGAUGAUCAGCCACACUGGGACUGAGACACGGCCCAGACUCCUACGGGAGGGAGCAGUGGGGAAUAUUAGACAAUGGGGGCAAACCUGAUCCAGCCAUGCCGGGUGAGUGAUGAAGGCCUUAGGGUUGUAAAGCUCUCUUACCCGGGAUGAUAAUGACGGUACCGGGAGAAGAAGCUCCGGCUAACUCCGUG